UACAGAGACCUCAAGCGUUAUCCGGAAUCAUUGGGCGUAAAGCGUACCGAUAGGUGGUUAUGAAAGUCAGAAGUGAAAUCUCAAGGCUCAACUUUGAGACUGUCUUUUGAAACUUCAUGACUAGAGGGGCAAAGAGGAAGCUAGAACAAACGGUGUAGUAGUAAAAUGCGUUGAUAUCGUUUGGAAUACCAAUAGCGAAGGCAGGCUUCUGGGUGCCACCUGACACUGCUAGGACGAAAGCGUGGGGAGCGAAUGGG
This 257-nucleotide ribosomal RNA is filed under the name uncultured bacterium. RNAcentral's name for it is "partial 16S ribosomal RNA". It matches the Rfam family "Bacterial small subunit ribosomal RNA", at positions 524 to 776 of the family's 1533-position model. The record is from RNAcentral.